RNAcentral lists this long non-coding RNA (2955 nucleotides) under Salmo trutta (river trout). Its description in RNAcentral is "lncRNA (ENSSTUG00000035929.1)". Lineage: Eukaryota; Metazoa; Chordata; Actinopteri; Salmoniformes; Salmonidae. The record is from RNAcentral.
GGUGGCCUGGUGGAGAUCGAGGCUGUGGCUGUUCUGGGACCCAUCUCUGAGUCCUGACUAACCGGCCAGGGCAUCAACAAGCUGUAAACUAACUAACCUGGAAGUGAACGUUUAACAGCCUUGAAAUAGUCCUAGUUUAAACAUUAAUUCAAUUAACCCAAACCACCCUUAGACUAUACUGGCCAGACAUUCUAAUGCCUUGAAGAGGAUAUAUAAUGUCAUAACAUGUUCCUGUUUGUACACUGAACAUAAAUAUAAACAAAACAUGUAAAGUGUUGGUCCCAUGUUUCAUCAGCUGAAAUAAAAGAUCCCAGAAAUGUUCCAUGUAAACAAAAAGCUUAUUUCUCUCAAAAUCCAUAUACAGGCCUUACCCAAAGCCAUAUGCAGGCCUUACCCAAAGCCAUAUGCAGGCCUUACCCAAAGCCAUAUGCAAGCUUUACCCAAAGCCAUAUGCAGGCCUUACCCAAAGCCAUAUGCAGGCCUUACCCAAAGCCAUAUGCAGGCCUUACCCAAAGCCAUAUACAGGCCUUACCCAAAGCUAUAUACAGGCCUUACCCAAAGCUAUAUACAGGCCUUACCCAAAGCUAUAUACAGGCCUUACCCAAAGCCAUAUGCAGGCCUUACCCAAAGCCAUAUGCAGGCCUUACCCUUAAGCCAUAUGCAGGCCUUACCCAAAGCCAUAUGCAGGCCUUACCCAAAGCCAUAUGCAGGCUUACCCAAAGCCAUAUGCAGGCCUUACCCAAAGCCAUAUGCAGGCCUUACCCAAAGCUAUAUGCAGGCCUUACCCAAAGCUAUAUACAGGCCUUACCCAAAGCUAUAUACAGGCCUUACCCAAAGCCAUAUGCAGGCCUUACCCAAAGCCAUAUGCAGGCCUUACCCAAAGCCAUAUGCAGGCCUUACCCAAAGCCAUAUGCAGGCCUUACCCAAAGCUAUAUACAGGCCUUACCCAAAGCCAUAUGCAGGCCUUACCCAAAGCUAUAUACAGGCCUUACCCAAAGCUAUAUACAGGCCUUAACCAAAGCCAUAUAUAUAUUUUUUUUUUGGUCAACUGUCAAACAAACCAAAAUGUAACUUUCAACUCCAAGAAAACACAGAGAUUUACUAUACCUUUUCUGCUACCUUUUUCUCUUCAUGGGCUCUGUUCCAUCGUCUCUAUGAUGUAAUCUAACAGCGUGGAUGAGAUACUGUCUAACUGACAUAAAUACGUUUCCUCAUACAAAGGAUGAUGCUGAAACAAGCAACUUGUCUUUUAAAAAAGCAACGUCAGUGAAUGUCUUGAGUUCAGUAACUGUUUUAUUCAAACCGUUAUAACAUGGCCAACAUGGUCAUAUUAUAUACCCUUAUAACAUGGUUAUAACAUGGUUAUAACAUGGUUGUAACAUGGCCAACAUGGUCAUAUUAUAUACCCUUAUAACAUGGUUUAACAUGGUUAUAACAUGGUUAUAACAUGGCCAACAUGGUCAUAUUAUAUACCCUUAUAACAUGGUUUAACAUGGUUAUAACAUGGUUUAACAUGGUUAUAACAUGGUUGUAACAUGGUUAUAAUAUGGUUGUACAGGUCAAGCCAGCUGUAAAAACAACAUCAUGUAAAUGUCUAAUAGUUGUUGGCUUCAUUUCUGAAAUAUGUGUGAGUAAAUGGAUUCAAGUUGUUCCUGAAUGAAUUAUUCUGACAAAUUAGUGUUGGUCACUUAACACUUGAUCCCACAUACUUGAUCUCACAUACUUGAUCCCACAUCGUUACAAGGCUGUAAUACGAACUCUAGUCACCAGAAAUGUAGAUUUUAGAUUCAAGCAAAAGUUAAUAAGCAUUUAUAAGUUACUUCGAAGCAAUUAUCUAAUGAAUGUUUUAUAAACAAUGCUAAUAACACAACUAAAUGCACAGGAAAAAGAGUAUUUACAGAGGAAAAAGGCACAGUGAUGACCGAUUGAUCCUGGUCACAGGGAUCAGCUGGUCUGCAGCUUGGCAACAGGCAAGUGGUGUCAUCCUCCUUCGCUUUCGAAUUAGGACAUUCAUGCAGAUUCUUCAUCCACAAUAAUGGGAAGACCGGCUUCAUUUCCCUGACUAGGGGCUAAAAUGCAAGCGAGGAAAAUCAUAUUAGAAUGUGUGGACGUUCAAAGAAAUACGACGUAACAAGUUCACUUUGUAUUUCAUGUAAAGAACCCUUCUCACCUGGUUGCAGCUGCAUCGGCCUCUGCUGCGGCCUCAGCUGCUUUUCAGGAACAAGAACAAUAACAAAUAUGAAAAAUAAAACACAAAACAGUAAAAAAAAAACUACAUUCACUAAUUGUUUUGUGAAAAAAGUUAAGAGGCCUGGAAAGGAAAUCCUGAAAUAAAUCCUGAACUACAAAAGCUGCCGUGUUCACGGCCCUGAUAGGUCCCCUGAUUGUGUCCCUUUUCUGCUGUGUGAAGUCAGCGUAGGGCACCUUAUUUGUAGUGCACUACUUCUGACCAGGGCUCCCUAGGUUUGGUUUGGCAGGCCGUGAAUCAUUCUGCACCUCAGAGAGGCUGGUCUGCUCUCUGUGUUUCUCUGUGUCUCUCUGUGUGUCUCUGUGUGUCUCUCUCUCUAUAUCUAUGUGUGUCUCUCUGUGUGUGUGUCUCUCUGUGUGUCUCUCCGUGUGUCUGUGUCCCUCUCUCUGUGUCUCUGUGUCUCUCUGUGUGUCUCACUAUGGGUCUCUCUGUGUGUCUCUCUGUGUGUCUCUCUCUGUAUAUCUCUGUGUGUCUCUCUGUAUAUCUCUGUGUGUCUCUCUGUGUGUGUCUCUCCGUGUGUGUGUGUCCCUCUCUCUGUGUCUCUGUGUGUCUUUCUGUGAUUCUAUACUGAACCACUGGUUCAAUUCAACUAUCUACAUAAUUUGGACACACCUACUCAUUCAAGUGUUUUUCUUUAUAUUUACUAUUUUCUACAUUGUAGAAUAAUAGUGAAGACAUCAAAACUAUGAAAUAACACACAUGGAAUC